This 400-nucleotide unclassified non-coding RNA is filed under the name uncultured Bryobacterales bacterium. RNAcentral's name for it is "contains 16S-23S intergenic spacer region". Lineage: Bacteria; Pseudomonadati; Acidobacteriota; Terriglobia; Bryobacterales. The record is from RNAcentral.
GGACUACCGGGGUAUCUAAUCCUGUUUGCUACCCACGCUUUCGUGCCUCAGCGUCAGUUAUGGUCCAGAAAGCCGUUUACACCACCGGUGUUCCUCCUGAUAUCUACGCAUUUCACCGCUACACCAGGAAUUCCACUUUCCUCUCCCACACUCUAGCUUCUCAGUAUUCGGCGCACCCUCCCAGUUGAGCCGGGAGAUUUCACACCAAACUUAAAAAGCCGCCUACGCACCCUUUACGCCCAGUAACUCCGAACAACGCUUGCUGCCUACGUAUUACCGCGGCUGCUGGCACGUAGUUAGCCGCAGCUGCUUCUGCAGGUACCGUCAUAAUCUUCCCUGCCGAAAGAGCUUUACACCCCGAAGGGCUUCAUCGCUCACGCGGCGUCGCUGCAUCAGAGUU